RNAcentral lists this ribosomal RNA (867 nucleotides) under Triticum aestivum (bread wheat). RNAcentral's name for it is "partial small subunit ribosomal RNA". Lineage: Eukaryota; Viridiplantae; Streptophyta; Magnoliopsida; Poales; Poaceae. The record is from RNAcentral.
GAGCGGGAGAUCGGCGUUGCCGCGCCUGAGCCCGUCGUCCAGUACACACUGCCGGCGCCGCUGAUGCCAUCCCCGCCCUCGGUCAACGGCACCAUUGUCAGUGCCAGCACCAGCAGCAUCUCGGCCACGUCGCAGAGCCUCCUCGACAGCAUGUUCGCGCCGUUUUCCGUGGCCCAGGUGUCGCAGUACCCGGAGCGCGCACUGGCCGCCAAGCCCUCGUCGCUGUGCCUCGCGACCGACGCCGCGUCCGCCCAGUUCUCGGCCCCCGCGGCUGACUGGCAGCAACAGCUCCCGCCGCCGUCGCUGUCCCCGUCGGCGCACAUGUCAGCCACGGCGCUGCUUCAGAAGGCGGCGCAGAUGGGCGCCACCUCGUCGAGCUCCUCGUUCCUGCGUGGGCUGGGCCUGGACAUCUCGUCGUCAUCGCCGGCGUCGACGUCGUCAGGUCAGCAUCAACAGCACCACCACCACCACCACCACCACCAGGAGCCCAUGCAAAUGCAGUUCCCGAAGGGGUGGCUGCAGCAAUGGCCGCCGCGGUUGGAGCCCGAGCCAGCUCCGAUGAUGUCGGCCGGGCUGGGCCUCGGGUUACCAUACGACUCUACCGGCGGUCCGAUGGGGUUGCCGGAGCUCAUGAUGGGCCAGUCAUCACUGUUCAGCGUCAAGCCGGCCACGCUAGACUUCCUGGGGCUCAGGAUGAGCCCCACCGGUGCAACGACGAGCAGGGGCCUCCCCGUGUUCAUGCAGCCCAUGGGCGGCGCGGUCGGCAUGGCCCGGACCGGCAGCGGCGCGGCAGAGACGUUCGGCUCCGGCCGGGGCGCUCAGGCCAAGCCGUGGGAGAGGAACUCGAGCAGCUCGCCGAUCCUGUGA